Molecule: ribosomal RNA, 421 nt
Filed under: Belnapia sp.
Lineage: Bacteria; Pseudomonadati; Pseudomonadota; Alphaproteobacteria; Acetobacterales; Roseomonadaceae
Description: bacterial SSU rRNA
Rfam family: Bacterial small subunit ribosomal RNA
Source: RNAcentral
GCUUACACAUGCAGUCGCACGGGGGCUUCGGCUCGAGUGGCGGACGGGUGAGUAACGCGUAGGAACGUGUCUUGGGGUGGGGGAUAACGCUGGGAAACUGGCGCUAAUACCGCAUAUGGGCUGAGGCCCAAAGCCUUCGGGUGCCUUGAGAGCGGCCUGCGUCCGAUUAGCUAGUUGGUGGGGUAAAGGCUUACCAAGGCGUCGAUCGGUAGCUGGUCUGAGAGGACGAUCAGCCACACUGGGACUGAGACACGGCCCAGACUCCUACGGGAGGCAGCAGUGGGGAAUAUUGGACAAUGGGCGGAAGCCUGAUCCAGCAAUUCCGCGUGGGUGAAGAAGGUCUUCGGAUUGUAAAGCCCUUUCGACAGGGACGAUGAUGACGGUACCUGUAGAAGAAGCCCCGGCUAACUUCGUGCCAGCC